RNAcentral lists this long non-coding RNA (921 nucleotides) under Homo sapiens (human). RNAcentral describes it as "non-protein coding lnc-IL22RA2-2:2". Lineage: Eukaryota; Metazoa; Chordata; Mammalia; Primates; Hominidae. The record is from RNAcentral.
UCCAGCUGGGUAGCCGGGGGAGCGCGCGUGGGGGCUCCGCGAGUCGCUCGCCCUUGGUUUCUGGGGAAGCCUGGGGGACGCGGCUGUGGCGGAGGCGCCCUGGGACUCAGGUCGCCUGGAGCGUGGCACGCAGAGCCCCAGGCGCGGAGCUGAGGCCGCGCGGCCGCGCUUGGCCCCAGCGGGCGUGGGACUGAGCAGUCUGCUGCCCCCCGACAUGUGACCCAGCCCCGCCGCCCAUGCGGGCUCCCGGCCGCCCGGCCCUGCGGCCGCUGCCGCUGCCGCCGCUGCUGCUGUUGCUCCUGGCGGCGCCUUGGGGACGGGCAGUUCCCUGUGUCUCUGGUGGUUUGCCUAAACCUGCAAACAUCACCUUCUUAUCCAUCAACAUGAAGAAUGUCCUACAAUGGACUCCACCAGAGGGUCUUCAAGGAGUUAAAGUUACUUACACUGUGCAGUAUUUCAUCACAAAUUGGCCCACCAGAGGUGGCACUGACUACAGAUGAGAAGUCCAUUUCUGUUGUCCUGACAGCUCCAGAGAAGUGGAAGAGAAAUCCAGAAGACCUUCCUGUUUCCAUGCAACAAAUAUACUCCAAUCUGAAGUAUAACGUGUCUGUGUUGAAUACUAAAUCAAACAGAACGUGGUCCCAGUGUGUGACCAACCACACGCUGGUGCUCACCUGGCUGGAGCCGAACACUCUUUACUGCGUACACGUGGAGUCCUUCGUCCCAGGGCCCCCUCGCCGUGCUCAGCCUUCUGAGAAGCAGUGUGCCAGGACUUUGAAAGAUCAAUCAUCAGAGUUCAAGGCUAAAAUCAUCUUCUGGUAUGUUUUGCCCGUAUCUAUUACCGUGUUUCUUUUUUCUGUGAUGGGCUAUUCCAUCUACCGAUAUAUCCACGUUGGCAAAGAGAAACACCCAGCAAAUUUG